ACAGGGAUUGCCUCAGUAACGGCGAGUGAAGCGGCAACAGCUCAAAUUUGAAAUCUGGCUCCUUCGGGGCCCGAGUUGUAAUUUGUAGAGGGUGCUUUGGCGUUGGCCCUGGCCUAAGUUCCUUGGAACAGGACGUCACAGAGGGUGAGAACCCCGUAUGUGGCCGUCGGCCUUCGCCGUGUAAAGCCCCUUCGACGAGUCGAGUUGUUUGGGAAUGCAGCUCUAAAUGGGAGGUAAAUUUCUUCUAAAGCUAAAUAUUGGCCAGAGACCGAUAGCGCACAAGUAGAGUGAUCGAAAGAUGAAAAGCACUUUGGAAAGAGAGUCAAAAAGCACGUGAAAUUGUUGAAAGGGAAGCGCUUGCAGCCAGACUUGCCUGUAGUUGCUCAUCCAAGCUCCUGCUUGGUGCACUCUUCUGUAGGCAGGCCAGCAUCAGUCCGGGCGGUCGGAUAAAGGCUUUGGGAAUGUAGCUCUCUUCGGGGAGUGUUAUAGCCCAUUGUGUCAUGCGACCAGCCUGGACUGAGGUCCGCGCAUCUGCUAGGAUGCUGGCGUAAUGGCUGUAAGCGGCCCGUCUUGAAACACGGACCAAGGAGUCUAACAUCUAUGCGAGUGUUUGGGUGUCAAGCCCGGGCGCGCAAUGAAAGUGAACGGAGGUGGGAACCCCUCGGGGCGCACCAUCGACCGAUCCUGAUGUCUUCGGAUGGAUUUGAGUAAGAGCAUAGCUGUUGGGACCCGAAAGAUGGUGAACUAUGCCUGAAUAGGGUGAAGCCAGAGGAAACUCUGGUGGAGGCUCGCAGCGGUUCUGACGUGCAAAUCGAUCGUCAAAUUUGGGCAUAGGGGCGAAA
Molecule: ribosomal RNA, 842 nt
Filed under: Pseudoberkleasmium chiangmaiense
Lineage: Eukaryota; Fungi; Ascomycota; Dothideomycetes
Description: partial large subunit ribosomal RNA
Rfam family: Eukaryotic large subunit ribosomal RNA
Source: RNAcentral